RNAcentral lists this ribosomal RNA (390 nucleotides) under uncultured bacterium. Its description in RNAcentral is "bacterial SSU rRNA". It matches the Rfam family "Bacterial small subunit ribosomal RNA", at positions 30 to 418 of the family's 1533-position model. The record is from RNAcentral.
AUUGAACGCUGGCGGCAUGCCUUACACAUGCAAGUCGAACGGCAGCAUGGGUGCUUGCACCUGAUGGCGAGUGGCGAACGGGUGAGUAAUGCAUCGGAACGUACCCGGAAGUGGGGGAUAACGUAGCGAAAGUUACGCUAAUACCGCAUAUUCUGUGCGCAGGAAAGCAGGGGAUCGCAAGACCUUGCGCUCUUUGAGCGGCCGAUGUCAGAUUAGCUAGUUGGUGAGGUAAAGGCUCACCAAGGCGACGAUCUGUAGCGGGUCUGAGAGGAUGAUCCGCCACACUGGGACUGAGACACGGCCCAGACUCCUACGGGAGGCAGCAGUAGGGAAUAUUGGACAAUGGGUGCGAGCCUGAUCCAGCCAUGCCGCGUGCAGGAAGACGGCCUU